This is a long non-coding RNA of Haliotis rubra (blacklip abalone), 233 nucleotides long. RefSeq lists it as uncharacterized. Lineage: Eukaryota; Metazoa; Mollusca; Gastropoda; Lepetellida; Haliotidae. The transcript has 3 exons. The record is from RefSeq and is a predicted model, not a curated record.
AUCUUCUUCCAUGUUUGUAGUGUGGCGUGUGUGCAAGGCUGCUACCCUGACCAGCUGCUAGCACAGUGGGAUAUCUACAACAAGAAAAGGAAGUCGGAAAACGAUCGACCAGAUAUGUUUGAUGAAAACCAGCUGUUUUAUCUUGUUUGAGUUUGCUGAUGGGGGCUCAGACCUUGAGUCUUUUCAGUUUGUCAACCCAUGGCAAGCCAAGAGGCGUUCUCCAACAAGUGUGU